Osmerus eperlanus (European smelt) is the source of this 619-nucleotide long non-coding RNA. RefSeq lists it as uncharacterized. The transcript is spliced from 4 exons. NCBI's taxonomy places the organism in Eukaryota, Metazoa, Chordata, Actinopteri, Osmeriformes, Osmeridae. The record is from RefSeq and is a predicted model, not a curated record.
GCGAUCAGAGGCAGACUACGGCUGAAGGGAAAGAUUACAUUUCCCAGGAUGCCUUGCAAACACCUUGGUAACCGACUGACUCCAAACAUUUUGAAGAAAGAUGGCUGCCAGUGCAGAAAAAGAAGUUUACAAAUGACACUGAUCAAACAGCUGGGCCUGGAGGGAAAGGUCAAUGUACAGCAGGUUGGAAAGAAAUGGGAAAAAUUAAAAAAGAAAUAUAAGGAUCUGAAAACUCCAAAGACUGGUUCAGGGACCGAAAGCGGGGAGAAAACAGCUGCCAACUGGCCUUUCUACGAGGAUAUGCAUGAGUUCUCGGUGCCAGACCAUGCAUAGAGCCCCCUGUAUUAGUGGCAUCUUUUAAUGAAGGCAGUGAUGUCACAACAUUACUGAUGAACAUCAUUGAACCAAGAGAAGAUUCUGCUUCCAGUCCUGGUCCUCCAACCACUCCCACAGCUCCUGAUCCCACAACACUGUCUCCCAGGAAGAAACGCACGAAGACCAAUCAUAUACUGGAAUUUCUCAAACAGGAAUCCGCAACGGAGCAGAAGAGGCACGAGGAGACUGAAGCCAAAACAGAACGUUUCCUCAGCCUAUUUGAGAAGCUAGUUAAUAAAAUGCC